RNAcentral lists this ribosomal RNA (375 nucleotides) under alpha proteobacterium oral taxon F61. Its description in RNAcentral is "bacterial SSU rRNA". It matches the Rfam family "Bacterial small subunit ribosomal RNA", at positions 30 to 433 of the family's 1533-position model. Lineage: Bacteria; Pseudomonadati; Pseudomonadota; Alphaproteobacteria. The record is from RNAcentral.
CGAACGCUGGCGGCAGGCUUAACACAUGCAAGUCGAACGCGCCCUUCGGGGCGAGUGGCAGACGGGUGAGUAACGCGUGGGAACCUACCUUUCGGUUCGGAAUAACCCAGGGAAACUUGGGCUAAUACCGGAUGCGCCCUUUGGGGGAAAGAUUUAUCGCCGAAAGAUGGGCCCGCGUCGGAUUAGCUAGUUGGUGGGGUAAUGGCCUACCAAGGCGACGAUCCGUAGCUGGUCUGAGAGGAUGAUCAGCCACACUGGGACUGAGACACGGCCCAGACUCCUACGGGAGGCAGCAGUGGGGAAUAUUGGACAAUGGGGGCAACCCUGAUCCAGCCAUGCCGCGUGAGUGAUGAAGGCCUUAGGGUUGUAAAGCUC